This 681-nucleotide ribosomal RNA is filed under the name uncultured nitrite-oxidizing bacterium. RNAcentral describes it as "bacterial SSU rRNA". It matches the Rfam family "Bacterial small subunit ribosomal RNA", at positions 21 to 696 of the family's 1533-position model. The record is from RNAcentral.
GGCUCAGAAUGAACGCUGGCGGCGCGCCUAAUACAUGCAAGUCGAGCGAGAAGACGUAGCAAUACGUUUGUAAAGCGGCGAACGGGUGAGGAAUACAUGGGUAACCUACCCUCGAGUGGGGAAUAACUAGCCGAAAGGUUAGCUAAUACCGCAUACGACUCCUGGUCUGCGGAUCGGGAGAGAAAGCGAUACCGUGGGUAGCGCGCUCUUGGAUGGGCUCAUGUCCUAUCAGCUAGUUGGCGAGGUAACGGCUCACCAAGGCUUCGACGGGUAGCUGGUCUGAGAGGACGAUCAGCCACACUGGCACUGCGACACAGGCCAGACUCCUACGGGAGGCAGCAGUAAGGAAUAUUGCGCAAUGGACGAAAGUCUGACGCAGCGACGCCGCGUGGGGGAUGAAGGUCUUCGGAUUGUAAACCCCUUUCGGGAGGGAAGAUGGAGUGGGUAACCACUUGGACGGUACCUCCAGAAGCAGCCACGGCUAACUUCGUGCCAGCAGCCGCGGUAAUACGAAGGUGGCAAGCGUUGUUCGGAUUCACUGGGCGUACAGGGAGCGUAGGCGGUUGGGUAAGCCCUCCGUGAAAUCUCCGGGCCUAACCCGGAAAGUGCAGAGGGGACUGCUCAGCUAGAGGAUGGGAGAGGAGCGCGGAAUUCCCGGUGUAGCGGUGAAAUGCGUAGAGA